Long non-coding RNA from Monopterus albus (swamp eel), 801 nucleotides. RefSeq lists it as uncharacterized. Lineage: Eukaryota; Metazoa; Chordata; Actinopteri; Synbranchiformes; Synbranchidae. The record is from RefSeq and is a predicted model, not a curated record. The transcript is spliced from 4 exons.
UGUGGUUGUUUAUGACGCGCGUGUGUACGGGCAGCGAGGCACUAGUAGAAAUGUUUGAUUCCUUGGAUUGUGUGUACAAGGUAUUAGUUUCAUUACAACAUAUAUAUUUAACACAUAUUCUCGUAAUUCGGAGCAAUUUUACUAGUGCGCGAGAAGUAGCUUUCUUUAGCAGUGCAUAUGUGCAGGCGAUCAUGCCCCAAGUUUAUACUUAGCUGAAGUAAAGCUGGCAGCUAAUUUAGGCUAACUAUCCAAAGAGAAGGCUGUUCAGGCUUAAAGCUGCCCACUCACUUCCUGUCAGUGCAGCACUAGAGACUCAAGUUCCCCAGGUGAAAGAAACCUGUCCUGAUAAAUGUCACAAGUUGAUACCCGAGGAUAGUCUGAUUCCCCGAACUCAAGUGACAUCAUUCCAGUGAGAGGACUACACCGAAUUAUAGGACAAUGAAAGGUGGAUCUCGGAAAAAAAGAAGAAGUGAACCUAAAAAGAGACAAACUAAAGUUGCUUCAAACACCGAUUCGUCUCCAGCUACAGAGGAAUCAAACUAUGGGCCAGGUGGUGAUUUAGCCAUCGACAGCAAGUCCACAACAUGUUCCUUACCAAGUACUCCAAAAAGAGGCAGGAGACAAACGGGAUGGAGACAAGAAGCCUACCGGACCUCCACACCAGUACAUAGGUCAUCCACUGUCAACUUGGUGAAUACAGAGUCUCCUGAAGCAAAACAAGCUGACCUAGAAUACACCAAAAUCUCUACUCAAUUAAAGACAUCAGAGGUCCAGUCCACAUACUGCAAAACAAAAUUUCAA